RNAcentral lists this ribosomal RNA (497 nucleotides) under uncultured bacterium. RNAcentral describes it as "bacterial SSU rRNA". It matches the Rfam family "Bacterial small subunit ribosomal RNA", at positions 28 to 497 of the family's 1533-position model. The record is from RNAcentral.
GACGAACGCUGGCGGCGUGCCUAAUACAUGCAAGUCGAACGCAUUUUCUUUCACCGUAGCUUGCUACACCGAAAGAAAAUGAGUGGCGAACGGGUGAGUAACACGUGGGUAACCUGCCCAUCAGCGGGGGAUAACACUUGGAAACAGGUGCUAAUACCGCAUAAUUCCAUUUACCGCAUGGUAGAUGGAUGAAAGGCGCUUUUGCGUCACUGAUGGAUGAACCCGCGGUGCAUUAGCUAGUUGGUGGGGUAACGGCCUACCAAGGCUGCGAUGCAUAGCCGACCUGAGAGGGUGAUCGGCCACACUGGGACUGAGACACGGCCCAGACUCCUACGGGAGGCAGCAGUAGGGAAUCUUCGGCAAUGGACGCAAGUCUGACCGAGCAACGCCGCGUGAGUGAAGAAGGUUUUCGGAUCGUAAAACUCUGUUGUUAGAGAAGAACAAGGAUGAGAGUGGAAAGUUCAUCCCUUGACGGUAUCUAACCAGAAAGCCACGGA